GUGUAAUAAUUUUUUAACCAAGAAACAUUAAUUAAUACAACUUAGUAGUUCAUAAACACCGUAUGCAGUAACAUUACCACAAAGCACAUGGUAAAUAAAAUGUCCAACCUUCCUUUUGCUUAAAAUCAACAAAUACUAAUAAAAUAUUUUGUAAAUGGUAAAUAAGAUGUCCAAGUUCAGUUGUUUAUAGCUUGUACAUGUAUUGCAAUUGGUAAAUAAAAUUUGAUGAUCUAUUUAUCAAACGGCAAAAGAAUAAUCAGACCGCUACUUAAGUAAAAGCGAAAAAGAAUUCAUUCAUUCAAAAAAAUAUUAGGAAUUGAUCGCCAACUGAAAACAACAUAAUCCAACUUCUUUCAGAAACAAAUUACCACACAACUCUCAAUUUAUAUAAUUGACUUAUUUUAGGUAACAACAAAGGUUCCAAAUGAACAUAAAUCACAAUUACAAUUAAAACAAUAAUCAAAUUUCUUGAAACAUCUGAUUUAAUCAGCAUCAUUAGCACUAUUAGUCCACCUUCCUGCAAUUUACCCGAGUCUGACCAUAUUUCCCUAUCAAUGACUUGAUAUUACCCAUCUUAAUCAUAGAUGUAGCAAAAUCUUUAGAGAAACUCCUUAAGUUUUUACUAAUGUUUUAACAAGAUCAUCAGUUUUUCCACCACUAAAUAGUACCAAACCUGAAGCACCCAAUAUGGAUCUAAUCAAAAGCAAAAUCUAACAAAAUAGUGUUUUAGUGAACAAAGACUUUUCAACUAAUUCUUUAUCAAGAUGUUCUCUUAAAGGGCAACUCUAAAAUAAAUUCAGAGAAUCAACAAGAAAGUUCUACUUAAUGUUAAAUGAAUGAAUUCGUAAAGAAAUAAAUUAUCUAACCAAACAAUUUAUACUCCAAACUUGACUUAUCCUUAAACGACUCAUUUUGAAGCUCGAUUCACAAUUAAUUAGAUAAAAUAGAAAGGGACACAAAUAGACUUGUUAAGCAAAAUGUUCUUUAACAACAAUUGAAAAAUCAGCAACUACAUUUAAUAGAAAGGGACACAAAUAGACUUGUUAAGCAAAAUGUUCUUUAACAGCAAUUGAAAAAUCAGCAACUACACAGAUUUUGACUCCAAAAUUCAAGUAUGGAAAAAAUGACUAAUUGAACUCGGAACCGUGAACGUCAUCCUCGAACAGUCACAUCCGAACCAGCAAAACACCAACCAAACUCAAGCAAGAUCCGUGAAUGAAGAUCAACAGGGCAGAAACUAAUAUAUA
This 1247-nucleotide long non-coding RNA is filed under the name Nicotiana benthamiana. RNAcentral's name for it is "long non-coding RNA (NBEN_LNC035082)". The record is from RNAcentral. Lineage: Eukaryota; Viridiplantae; Streptophyta; Magnoliopsida; Solanales; Solanaceae.